RNAcentral lists this non-coding RNA (30 nucleotides) under Rattus norvegicus (Norway rat). The record is from RNAcentral. Lineage: Eukaryota; Metazoa; Chordata; Mammalia; Rodentia; Muridae.
UAAAUUGACAGAUAGUGGCCUGUGAUUUGA